CUGUAAGCCGGAGAUGGUUGUAGGCUUGUAGAUGCUGCCGCACCAGAGUGCCCUCGCCAGGCAUCCCUUGUUUGCCUGCACAUGGGAAGAGGGCAUCUGAUAAGGGUCAUGAAGACUGACAAAGGUAAGCAAAGCCUCGUUGGCCCUGCAAACGGAAGCAUCUGUACUUCAGGAAUGGCUCGUGCACCAUCAGGGCGACAGCACGGCCGAAAUGCACGCGAUGUGUCGAAACGCACCCGGAUGUCGUGGAUAGCGUAAGGGCGGUGUAUGCGAGAGAUCGCGAAGCCGCAGAGGUCGGGUGCAGAGCUGCCUGCAUCCUCGUCUGCGUGCACGCUCCAUUUCAGUAAACAUCCAAGCGGUCCGUGGAAAGCUAUCAGCCCGGCCCUUGGUUUCCCGCUAUUAGAUACAACUAGCUUCCAAAUAGCAUCACGGCACUAUACGUAAGGCCAUCUGCUCGCGCCAGGAUGCCGCAUCGCACCUUGACAAGCUCCAAUGGGUUGGCCACCAAGGUAGAGAUGACUGCUGCAGAGCCGGCGGCCAUCCCCUUCUCCCACAUGUCCAAUUGCCCAGGCAUCUCGCACUGCUCUGCCAUUAUAAUGCAGCAGGCUUUACGCAGCUGGUGACCUGUUUGAGGUCCGCCAAGCUGUCAUACACAGAGCCCUGCAGAUGAGGUGCUGAUCUACGUUAAUUUAUCGCUCUACAGGUGAAUUUGCAUUUGUCUGAAAUGUGGGGCGCUCCAACUGGGCCACAUGGGCGGAUCUCGGCACGUGCGCAAAUUCAAUAAAUC
This 787-nucleotide long non-coding RNA is filed under the name Coccomyxa subellipsoidea. RNAcentral's name for it is "long non-coding RNA (CSUB_LNC000316)". Lineage: Eukaryota; Viridiplantae; Chlorophyta; Trebouxiophyceae; Coccomyxaceae. The record is from RNAcentral.